CACAUGCACACACACACGGACACACACAUGGACACACACACAUGCACACACACACGGACACACACAUGGACACACACACAUGCACACACACACGGACACAAAGACACAGACCCACACAACAGAAGCUGCAGUGUUACGCCAGGCUGGACCAGGCAGGUUCUCCUCCAGAUUGACGCUGGGGGCAUGUGACUGUCUGUGCAGGGUGAGGGAAACACUCACCCUCGCGUUUCACUUCCACUGACCUGCCAACUGCGUUUCUCGAGAACGAAAACCACUCUUUUAUUUGUAAGUUAGCAUUGAGGACCAGUGGUGACUGAAUCCAGGUCCUAGAGUCUGUUCCAGAUGGUGCAGACAAACACAGAUCCAAAGUAGGCUGGGAGCUUCGAGAGGAGCUCAAAUUUUAUAUAUCCUGUAAUUAAGCUCAAAUUUUAUAUAUUGUGUUAUCAAUUCCAAAUCUGAUAUUUAAUUAAGCUCAAUUUGUAUAUAAUGUAAUGAAGUUCAAAUUUUAUAUAUUGUGUAACAGCAAAAAAUCAUAUUCAUCCAAUUAUUCAUCUGGGAUUUAGCAGACAGCCACAGAUCCAACAUUUAAUUAAGAUAUAUUUUUAUAUAAUGUAAUGAAGUUAAAAAAUCAUAUUCAUCCAAUUAUUCAUCUGGGAUUUUGCAGACAGACACAGACCCAACUUAAUUACUGGAUAUACAAAAAAUAUAUACCUCAAAUUCUAUAUAUUGUGUACAGUAUUUCACCUCAAAUUGUAUAUACAAUAUCAUGCAAUUAAGCUCAAAUUUUAUAUAUUGUGUAUUUCAGCUCAAAUUUUAUAUAUAAUGUAAUUUAAUUUAAUGUAAUAAUGUAAUGUGGUUUAAUCAUUUAAUUCAACUCAGUUUUCAUAUAAUGUAAUUCAUGUAGUAAUUCAUUAAAAUGAUAUAUUGUGCAACAGCAAAAAAUCAUAUUUAUCAUCUGGGUUAAAACAUUUUUUAUUAUGUUUAUUACAUACAGAAAAAUGGCAGUUUUCAAUUAGGUCAGUCUAUUAUGUUAGCCCUAGUGUUAGGGCAAACUGUAAUAUUGUAUUAUAUUAUAAUCAUAUAACAGCAGAGCCCUUGGAAAGCCCUCCACCAGAGGCUCCUCAGCAAAAUGGAGUCAGUCACUGGAAGAGCACAGCCAGUUCUGUAUGGGUUUCCCACAGCGUGCAUGUUUAAUGCCCGUUUAAAACAAUUUCAGCUUUGUUGCCCUUUAUUCCUGCUACCUUGGUGUCAUGUGCAUUAAAUAUGUCCUGCAAGUAGGCAGGUAAGUGUGAAUGUGUUUGUGAGUGUGCAGGUGAAUGAGUAUACAGGUAAGUGUUAAUGUAUGAGUAUCACACAGGUAUAUGUGAUUGUGCAGGUGUGUGUACAGGUAUAUGUGAUUGUGCAGGUGUGUGUACAGGUAUAUGUGAUUGUGCAGGGAAGUGUGUGUGGGAGUGUGCAGGUGAGUGUACAGGUAUGUGUGAUUGUGCAGGAAAGUGUGUGUGUGGGAGUGUGCAGGUGAGUGUACAGGUAUGUGUGAUUGUGCAGGGAAGUGUGUGUGUGGGAGUGUGCAGGUGAGUGUACAGGUAUGUGUGAUUGUGCAGGGAAGUGUGUGUGUGGGAGUGUGCAGGUGUGUGUACAGGUAUGUGUGAUUGUGCAGGUGAGUGUACAGGCAUGUGUGAUUGUGCAGGGAAGUGUGUGUGGGAGUGUGCAGGUGAGUGUACAGGCAUGUGUGAUUGUGCAGGGAAGUGUGCAGGUGAGUGAGUGAGUGUGCAGGUGAGUGUACAGGCAUGUG
Long non-coding RNA from Conger conger (European conger), 1792 nucleotides. RefSeq lists it as uncharacterized. The transcript has 3 exons. Lineage: Eukaryota; Metazoa; Chordata; Actinopteri; Anguilliformes; Congridae. The record is from RefSeq and is a predicted model, not a curated record.